Transfer RNA from Aerococcus urinaehominis, 73 nucleotides. It matches the Rfam family "tRNA". Rfam says of the family: Transfer RNA (tRNA) molecules are approximately 80 nucleotides in length. Lineage: Bacteria; Bacillati; Bacillota; Bacilli; Lactobacillales; Aerococcaceae. The record is from Rfam.
GCCGGAUUAGCUCAGUUGGUAGAGCAGUGCACUCGUAACGCAAAGGUCACAGGUUCAAAUCCUGCAUCCGGCA